AUUGAACGCUGGCGGCAUGCUUUACACAUGCAAGUCGAACGGCAGCACGGGUGCUUGCACCUGGUGGCGAGUGGCGAACGGGUGAGUAAUGCAUCGGAACGUAUCCAAUAAUGGGGGAUAACGCAUCGAAAGGUGUGCUAAUACCGCAUACGCCCUGAGGGGGAAAGUGGGGGACCGUAAGGCCUCACGUUAAUGGAGCGGCCGAUGCCUGAUUAGCUAGUUGGUGAGGUAAAGGCUCACCAAGGCGACGAUCAGUAGCUGGUCUGAGAGGAUGAUCAGCCACACUGGGACUGAGACACGGCCCAGACUCCUACGGGAGGCAGCAGUGGGGAAUUUUGGACAAUGGGGGCAACCCUGAUCCAGCCAUGCCGCGUGAGUGAAGAAGGCCUUCGGGUUGUAAAGCUCUUUCGCAAGGGAAGAAAACUUAGCCAUUAAUACUGGCUGAGGAUGACGGUACCUUGAUAAGAAGCACCGGCUAACUACAUGCCAGCCGCCGCCGUAA
Molecule: ribosomal RNA, 502 nt
Filed under: uncultured bacterium
Lineage: Bacteria
Description: partial 16S ribosomal RNA
Rfam family: Bacterial small subunit ribosomal RNA
Source: RNAcentral